UCAAACUUGGUCAUUUAGAGGAAGUAAAAGUCGUAACAAGGUCUCCGUUGGUGAACCAGCGGAGGGAUCAUUACAGGAAUUAUGCACUUGCGCCCCAGUGGCAAAAGAGCAAUAAACCCCAGUGAACUACACCUUCUCAGAGGCGUCCCAGGUUGCGCCGGCUAGUGCUCCCUAACCACGCUCCUCCCUUCUGGGGAGGGAAACGAGUUAGUGGAGGGCUGCCGGGGCUCUGGGCGCACCCACUAAAAAAACACCUAGCCUCCGUAAGGAUACUUCUGAUUUUCAUGAGAUAAAUAGCUGAAAACUUUCAACAACGGAUCUCUUGGCUCCAGCAUCGAUGAAGAACGCAGC
This 351-nucleotide unclassified non-coding RNA is filed under the name uncultured fungus. RNAcentral describes it as "partial contains small subunit ribosomal RNA, internal transcribed spacer 1, and 5.8S ribosomal RNA". The stretch from base 1 to 73 matches the Rfam family "Eukaryotic small subunit ribosomal RNA", at positions 1759 to 1831 of the family's 1831-position model. The record is from RNAcentral. Lineage: Eukaryota; Fungi.